GACCCGUCUUGGAGCACGGACCAAGGAGUCCAACAUGUGCGCGAGUCUAAGGGUGAUCUAAACCUGGAGGCGAAAUGAAAGUGAGCUCCUUUUGGGGCAGGCCGAUCCCCUGUGGUGGAGUGUGCGGUGCCUUGCCUGCGGUGAGUGAAUUUCCUGUGGGUGGGGUGCGGUGCGCUGUUCCACGGCCCCGUGAGGGGAGAUGGGGCGCAGGCCGAGGACUUGCCUUAGUGCGGCGCGGGCAACGGGUGGUCACCCUGUGGCUUCCUUAUCCCGAUGUCCGCCGGCAAGUACCUGAGAGCGCAGCCGUUGGGACCCGAAAGAUGGUGAACUAUGCCUGGCGAGGACGAAGCCAGAGGAAACUCUGGUGGAGGUCCGAAGCAGUUCUGACGUGCAAAUCGAUUGUCAGAGCUGGGUAUAGGGGCGAAAGACUAAUCGAACCAUCUAGUAGCUGGGNUUCCUUCCNA
Molecule: ribosomal RNA, 464 nt
Filed under: Macrobrachium aff. pilimanus MB-2009
Lineage: Eukaryota; Metazoa; Arthropoda; Malacostraca; Decapoda; Palaemonidae
Description: eukaryotic LSU rRNA
Rfam family: Eukaryotic large subunit ribosomal RNA
Source: RNAcentral